Molecule: ribosomal RNA, 460 nt
Filed under: uncultured bacterium
Lineage: Bacteria
Description: partial 16S ribosomal RNA
Rfam family: Bacterial small subunit ribosomal RNA
Source: RNAcentral
CCUACGGGAGGCAGCAGUGAGGAAUAUUGGUCAAUGGACGAGAGUCUGAACCAGCCAAGUAGCGUGAAGGAUGACUGCCCUAUGGGUUGUAAACUUCUUUUAUAUGGGAAUAAAACGUUCCACGUGUGGGAUUUUGUAUGUACCAUAUGAAUAAGGAUCGGCUAACUCCGUGCCAGCAGCCGCGGUAAUACGGAGGAUCCGAGCGUUAUCCGGAUUUAUUGGGUUUAAAGGGAGCGUAGGUGGAUUGUUAAGUCAGUUGUGAAAGUUUGCGGCUCAACCGUAAAAUUGCAGUUGAAACUGGCAGUCUUGAGUACAGUAGAGGUUGGCGGAAUUCGUGGUGUAGCGGUGAAAUGCUUAGAUAUCACGAAGAACUCCGAUUGCGAAGGCAGUUCACUGGACUGCAACUGACACUGAGGCUCGAAAGUGUGGGUAUCAAACAGGAUUAGAUACCCCUGUAGUC